GGGAAUCUUCCACAAUGGGCGCAAGCCUGAUGGAGCAACACCGCGUGAGUGAAGAAGGGUUUCGGCGCGUAAAGCUCUGUCGUUGGAGAAGAACGUGCGUGCGAGUAACUGUUCACGCAGUGACGGUAUCCAACCAGAAAGUCACGGCUAACUAGCGGGCAGCAGCCGCGGUAACACGUAGGUGGCAAGCGUUAUCCGGAUUUAUUGGGCGUAAAGCGAGCGCAGGCGGUUGCUUAGGUCUGAUGUGAAAGCCUUCGGCUUAACCGAAGAAGUGCAUCGGAAACCGGGCGACUUGAGUGCAGAAGAGGACAGUGGAACUCCAUGUGUAGCGGUGGAAUGCGUAGAUAUAUGGAAGAACACCAGUGGCGAAGGCGGCUGUCUGGUCUGCAACUGACGCUGAGGCUCGAAAGCAUGGGUAGCGAACAGG
This 427-nucleotide ribosomal RNA is filed under the name uncultured bacterium. Its description in RNAcentral is "bacterial SSU rRNA". It matches the Rfam family "Bacterial small subunit ribosomal RNA", at positions 357 to 776 of the family's 1533-position model. The record is from RNAcentral.